UACGUAGGGUGCGAGCGUUGUCCGGAAUUAUUGGGCGUAAAGAGCUCGUAGGCGGUGUGUCACGUCGGCCGUGAAAACCUGCAGCUUAACUGUGGGCGUGCGGUCGAUACGGGCAUCACUGGAGUUCGGCAGGGGAGACUGGAAUUCCUGGUGUAGCGGUGAAAUGCGUAGAUAUCUGGAGGAACACCGGUGGCGAAGGCGGCAUCCUGGACCGGUAUUGACGCUGAGGCGCGAAAGCCAGGGGAGCAAAGCGGG
Molecule: ribosomal RNA, 255 nt
Filed under: uncultured bacterium
Lineage: Bacteria
Description: partial 16S ribosomal RNA
Rfam family: Bacterial small subunit ribosomal RNA
Source: RNAcentral